Molecule: long non-coding RNA, 40171 nt
Filed under: Gossypium raimondii (Peruvian cotton)
Lineage: Eukaryota; Viridiplantae; Streptophyta; Magnoliopsida; Malvales; Malvaceae
Description: long non-coding RNA (GRAI_LNC009583)
Source: RNAcentral
GCUACAAUGGAUCCUAUUAUAACAAAGCCUUGGAGUUUUCUAGGGACCUGGUUCCAAAAUGAUGAUCAUACUCCAUUUGCUACUGCAUAUGGGAAGACAUUGUGGGACUAUUUUACCCAUGAUCCUCAGCUAAAAGAUUUGAUAAAUGAUGGCUUAGCUAGUGAUUCUCAAUUGGUUACUAGUGUUCUAGUAGACAAGUGUAAAGGGGCAUUUGAGGGAUUGGACUCCCUUGUAGAUGUUGGGGGUGGCACAGGAACUACGGCCAAGGCCAUUGCUGAUACAUUUCCACUCAUGGAGUGCACUGUGUUUGAUCUUCCUAAUAUUGUUGCUGGCUUGCAAGAGAGUAAGAACUUGAAAUAUGUUGGAGGCAACAUGUUCGAGGCAUUUCCAACCGGAGACGCAAUUUUAUUAAAGGUUAAGCUUUACUAAAUUUAUUCGCGUUAUUUUUUUCUGGUAUUUUUACUUUUAUAAAUUAUGCACAACAAAUUCCAUUACACAUGAUAAUAUUCAAAGAUUUGAAGGCAAAUGUAAUCAUAGUUUGUGGGUUAGCUAAUGUUUUAUGUUUUUUGAGCUAAUUAUGAAUGAUAAUUGAACAGAAGGUAUUGCACGAUUGGAAUGAUGAAGGAUGCUUGACAAUUCUGAAGCGAUGUAAAGAGGCCAUUUCAAGCCAAGACAAGGUAGGAAGAAAGUUGAUCAUAAUUGACAUGGUUGUGAGGGAGAAUGAGCAAGUGAAUGAUGAAGCCUCAAGCUUAACUAAAACACAACUCUUUUUCGACAUGUUGAUGUUGGUAUUGGUGGCUGGAAAAGAGAGGCGGGAAGAAGAAUGGGCUAAACUAUUUUUAGCAGCUGGUUUUAGUUCUUUCAAAAUUACUCCUAUUGUGGGUUUGACAUCUCUCAUUGAGGUUUACCCCUGAGAGCAUUUGGUUAUUGCAUUAUUAGUAUAAUAAUGUCGAGAAAUACAUUGUUGAAGUGGUAAAAUUGUUCUUUGUUGACAACAUUUACUAGAGUUGUUUGCUGGGAUUUUAACUGUGUUGCCUAUUCCUAUUGUGUUGUUGUCAUGGUCCUACUCUUAUAGACCUUUCCUGUUGUUAUUACUCUUAAGGUUUGUACUUGUUGUUUUGUCCGUAAUUUGUUUUACUUCAGUCUACGCACAUAUAAUUCUAAUUUUAAUAGUUUAGUGGUCUUGUUGUUGAUUGUUGAUCAGAGCAGCGCAACGGAAUCAUGAUAAAUAGUUCAUGAUUAAUUGUGUGGUGUGAUUGCUCGGUUACUGUGUUUUGUAGUGGUUUUAAAUGGAUAGUCAUUUUGGUGACUAAUGUGACGUUUGAAAUUUGGGUCGGAUCGUUCUGGCCGGGUUUGAGGCGCCACAUCAGAGCCCUAUUUUAAGAUGUUACAAAUAUGUUUGUCAAAGCAGCUAUGAAAGAAAUAUAUCUCACUUGCCAUUGUAAAAUGUAAAUCAAAAUAUCCACUUGUCAUUGCCACUUGUCAAGACAUUUGCUGCAAACAAAAAAAUUAUAGGAUUAAAUUUUAAAUUUCAAAAGAUUACAUGAACCUUUUUCAUAUUUAAAUCAAAAGCAAAUAACGUAAUCAUUAAUCCAUACUUUCAUUUUUUGCUUUUGUUUCUUAAUCAUCAAAAACCAUGAUUAUUUAAACCAGAUUAGAUCGACUGAUUAGACUAAGAAUCAACUAGUGCAUCGAUCCAAAAAUUGAUUAUUAGACCACCAACUAUGAACUAAAUAAAUUGAUAAAAGAAAAUCGAUCCAACCGAUUUUUAUGGUUUUGAGACCAAAUUUCAUCUAUCCCAAAUUGAGCAAAAAGAAAACCAACUACCCCUACCCCUAAAAAAUUAACACCCAGCCUCAAAAUCAAUAUAAAUUUUUUUAAAAAGAACCCCUAAUCUAGUUAUUGUAUUACUAAAACCUAUUAUAAGCACGGUGUGAAAUAGAUAAACUGGACAGCUAGAAGCUUUCUACAUAUUUUUUAGAGUGGUUUAAAAGAAAUAAGAAAAAUAAAAAGAAGAUGAUGAGAGAAAACACAAUAUUCUUUAUAGUUUUAGAUUUUGAAAGAUUUUAAAAAAUAAUUAAGUAAUAAAGCUCUUGACUUCAUCAUUGGUAAAAAGAGUCAUUAAAUUUUGGAAUGACAAAAAGUGUAAAGUAUAUUAUUGACAAAACGUAUAUAUUAUAGAUAUUUAUAUAUUUUUUAUUUUUUAGCGACAAAUCUCAAAAAGUAUACGUGAACUAUGGUUUAAUGUGCAAUUGUAUAAAUUGUCAGAUGAUUACAUCAUCAUUAUCACCUACAAAAAGAGCAAAUUGAUCUUUUCUGUUAAAAAUUUCAUCCAUUUAUACGGUUAAAAAUUGGUGGUUGACGGAAUAACCGAAUAGUGACAUAUGAUGUGCCAUGUGUACUGUACAAGCCCAUUUUUGCCUAAGCCCAGAUAAAUAAAACCCCCAAAAACAAAAAAAAUUAAAAAAUUAACAAUCCAAGAAAUUUAACCCAAAACACCCUAGCCCAAUUGAAGCCCAAACUUAAACCCAAAAUACCAGCCCAUUACAACCCAAAACCCACUAACCCAAUAGUCAAACUAGGGUUUCAGUUUUCUGAAACCCUAGCCGCCGCAACCUAUCCCUAGCCUCAGCUAUCAACUCCUCUAACAACCGCUGCCAUCGCCGCUUCUUCCUGCGGUGCUAACCAUGCCCUGCAAAGAAGAACAAGCACGCAAGAGAAACAUGAGAAAAUAGAUUAAAAAAAAAAGUGUUGUAAAUGGCUAUAAAAGCCAUCUAAAACCGAUUAUAAAGGGGGGUUCAGUUUUUCUUUUUUUUUUCGAACAUUUCAGAAAAUAAAAAAAGACACAAAGAAUAAAAAGAAACACAGCAAUCUCAAGGUGAUUGUUUGAUUUUAGAACAAGAUCCAUAUUUUGAUAGUGUAUCCCUAUUUUUUAUUUUUUAAAUUCUUUUUAUAUACGGUAAAUAUAAAAAGAAGAAAAGGGGAAACUCACCGGGGUAGGGCUUUGAAUGCCCGUUCUUGCACUUCAUCGGCCGUCGGAUACGGUGGCAGUGCGGCGAGCAGAGAGGUUGCACAACGGAGGCCGAGGGGAUUGAGAGCCGGAUGUUGAGAGAAAAAGGGGAGGGGUUUUGAAUUUUUUUUUUUAAAUGGUGGCUGUACUGAUUUUCAAAAUUUUUUUACUUAAAUACACUAAAUAAAACGGCGCCGUUUUGCAACUAGGGGUCAGGUGCCAAAACAACGUCGUUUUGGUCCUGACCCGCGACCUGACCCGUCCGCCCUCAGGAUUCGCGUGUUCCUGCGGUGAAGGGGGAUAUUUGCGCACUAGGUCCCUCCUCUUUUGCGCCCUAGUGCAAUUUGGUCCCGUUUUGUUUUUUAAUUCGGCCGCAUAAUUUCUCGUAUGUUUCACUUCAGUCCGCGCCAAAAUGUUGCACAUAGAGCCUGGGAUAUUUUCCAAAUCAGCCCUCCGUUCUUUGAGCGCAUUAUAUUUUGGUCCCCGAGUACCCAUUUUUUGUUUAUUUGCAUUUUAAACCCCGAAUUUCGUUUUCAAAAUUCGAUUUAGCCUGUUUGUUGUAUUAUUUUGGUUAUUUUAUUAAUAAUAAAUUAGAUAUUAUUAUGAUUAUUACUAUAAUUUGUUAUUGUUAUUAUAUUAUUAUUUAUGUUUACUUAUUUAAAUAUCAAAUAUAUGUGUCUUCUUAUAUUAGUAUUAUUAUUUGUUAUUUAUGUCCCUUUUUUAGUUUUAUUUUUUAUUUAUUUCAAGUUUUGUUAUAUAUGUGUAUAUAUACAUUUCUAUAAUAUAUAUGUCUAUAUGUCUAUAUUCUUUUAUUUUAUAACUCAUAUAUAUAUACAUACAUAUAUAUAUUUUUAUAAUUCUACAUAUAUAUAUUUUUAUCUAUUUUCUUUAUUGUUAUUAUUGUUUUACUUGAUGUUCAUUUAUUUAUUUGUUUAUAUGUCCAAUGUUCUCUUUUUAAAAAAAUGUUUAGUUUUUAUUUGUUUAUUUACUUGUUUGGUAUAUACAUAAUUAAUUUGUUUUAUUUUUUUUUGCUCGUAUUAUUUUUACUUACAUUAUCAUAAUUAUUAUUCCGUCAUAUAUAAUUUUUACCCAAAUUCGUAAAAAAGAGAAAAUUUUGAAAAUAAAGACAAUACUCGAUAUUUGGAAUCUUCGAGAGGAUUGAGCCCUAACGCAUUGGGUUCCAAUUUUCUUCGUUAAAUCUAAAUAAUCAAGAAUGCUCUUUAAUAAAAAAAUAUAAAUAAAAGCUCAUUAUCGGGAAUUCAAUACUUUGUGUCCUAACGCAUUGGAUAUGACACGUUGUUUUCUCGGGAAUAAAAAAAAUAAAAGCAUUCCCUAAUGUGUAGGGUUACAAUUUUUCGUUUAGCCAAAUAGUCAAAUACCCUCUUAAAGUCUCAAAGUAUAGGUUUUGGAAGCCAUAAGGUGAUCUUGGUUUCGAGAGUUUAAAGUAUCGUAUCCUAAUGCGCUGGAUGUGAUAUUCUUUCGGAACAAGAGAAUCCUAAAUUCCAACCCAUAUCGUUCAAAAUUUUUAGGAUCGUAUUUUUAAAAUUUUUUAAAGUUUUCAAUCUUCGACACUAAAGACACUAAAUAAUCAACUAGGUACCAAUUUUUGGGCGUUACGAGGGUGCUAAUCCUUCCUCGUACGUAAUCGACUCCCGAACCUAUUUUUUCUAAAUUUUGCAGACCAAAAGCACUGUUUUAAUAAAUCUAAACCGUUUAUUAAAAAUAAUCGCUUUACGAGGUGACCCGAUCACACCUCAUUAAAAAAGAUUGGUGGCGACUCACGUUUUCGUUUAUGUUUUUAAAAUCCAAGUCGACCCCUGUUUUAUCAAAAAAAUGGUGUCAACAGCUUGGCGAAUCCACUGGGGAAGCAUAAGAGAGUCAAGCCAUAAAUUGAUUAAUUUUGUCUUUUUUGUCGAAAAUUGAAAUUUUGAUUUUUAACAUAUGAUCCUCUCAUUGCAUUUCAUCUGUUUUGAGUUAUAGUUUUCAUCAUGUUUUGUAUUUUAAUUUUUUUAUAUCUUCACACAUUGCAUUGCAUGGUCGUGGGUCACACCCUUUUAAGUAGGAGUGAGAAGCUACUCCUUCGUGAGGUUUUCACCUCCGUGCAGGAUAGUGGAUCGCUUUCGGGAUACAUUCGUACCUAUGUCUUCGUGAGAUUUUCAUCUCCGUGCAGCCAUAGGGAAAUGUAUUCCCCUAAACUGAACUCGGUCUAUAUGAGCCUAUAAUGGGUGAAGAUCGAGGAAUUUGUAAGUUCAGGUACCCUUUCUUUAGAACCGAGCCGCAUAUAGUGAAUCCUGAGAAUGUACCCUAGGUAAAGACACAUGGCAACUGAUGAGAAGCUGUUCAAGGACCUUGAUAGGAGUUUUACUACAAGAUUAGAAUUGGUAAUGGGAAUCUAAUUGAAGCCAAAGGUAGAGGAGAUGUUGUGAUCAACACUUGGUCAGGUAACAAAGUAAUUUCUGAUGUGUUUUUUGUGCCUGACAUAGAUAAGAAUCUACUUAGUGUUGGUCAGUUAGUGAAAAAAGGGUAUUCACUGGUAUUUAAAAAUGGCUCCUACAUUGUCAAAGACUCACAUGGUUAGGAGUUACUCACAGUAGCAAUGACAGAUAGGUGAUUUAUGCUCGAUGUGAAUCAACUCGAGAAGAAGGCUUACAGAAGUCUUGUUGACAAUGCUGGCCUACGGCACAAAAGACUAGGCUAUAUCAACCAUAGAUCACUUGACUUGUUGCAUAAGUUGAACUUGGUUGAAGAUAUGUACAAGGUUAAAGUCAAAUUCACUGUAUGUGAAGUUUACCAGCUUGGUAAGCAGGCUAGAUUGCCAUUUCUAGGUAAUAAGGCAUGGAGGGCUCGAGACAAACUUAAGUUGGUCUAUUCUAAUAUCUGUAGGCCAAUGAGGACUCCUUCCUUGAAUGGCAACAAGUAUUUUGUGCUAUUUAUUGAUGAUCUGACCAGGUUUUGUUGGGUUUAUUUCUUGAAGCAGAAAUCUGAAGUGUUUGAAGCAAUCAAAAAAUUUAAAGCUUUAGUUGAAAACCAUACUGGCUGUAAGAUUAAGGCUUUGAGAACUGAUAAUAGCACUGAGUACCUAUUUGAAAGGUUUCAGAAAUUGUGUAAACAAGUUGGGAUUCAUCAUCAGCUAACAACAGUCUAUACACCUCAGCAAAAUGGAGUAUAUGAGAGGAAGAAUAGAACUAUGCUUGAUAUGGCCAGAUGUCUAUUAUUUCAGAGCAAGUUGCCAAGCAAAUUUUGGGUUGAGGCAGUCAAUACCUCAGUGUACCUGCUCAACAAGCUGCCAACUCAUGCUGUCAAAGACAAGACUCCUUUUGAAGCUUGGCAUGCACUCAAGCCAACUGUUUCACAUCUGAGAGUGUUUGGUUGUGUCUGUUAUGCCCUCAUUUCAGCUGAGAAGAGAACCAAGCUUGAAAGAAGGGCUGUUCCAAAGAUAUUUGUUGGGUAUAGCAGUACAAAAAAGGGUUACAGGGUAUUUAAUCCUUCAACAAAAAGGAUUUCAGUGAGUAGAGAUAUAAGGUUUGAUGAGGAGAAGGUUUAGAGCUAGAAUGAUGCAGAUGCAAAGUUGAUUAAAGAAAAUCAACUUGACAACAGCCUGGAAUCAGUUGAAAAUGAGCCUAGCAAUGAAGAUUUUGAUGAUGCUCCUAUGAGAGGUACCAGAACUAUUGCUGACAUCUACCAAAGAUGUGAUGUUACAAUAGUGGAACCUUUCAAAUUUUGAAGAAGCUGCCAGGGACAAGUGUUGGAAGAAGGCCAUGGAAGCUGAAUUAGACAUGAUCCACAAGAACGACACUUGGGAAUUGGUUGACAGACCAGAUCAAAAGAAAGUUAUAGGUGUCAAGUGGGUGUUUAGAGCCAAGUACAAUGUUAAUGGCUCAUUAAACAAACACAAAGCAAGGCUUGUGGUGAAAGGCUACAGCCAGCAAUAUGUCAUCGAUUUCAUGGGGACAUUUGCUUUAGUAGUAAGGCUAGACACAAUUAAACUUCUAUUUGCCUUGGCUGCUCAGAAGCAAUGGAUGGUCUACCAGUUAGAUGUUAAGUCAGCAUUUCUGAAUUGUUUCCUCACGGAGGAGAUUUUUAUUGAGCAACCAGAUGUGUUUAAGGUCCUAGAAAAAGAAGGCAAAGUCUACAGGUUAAAAAAGGCACUGUAUGGCCUAAAGCAGGUACCAAGGGCCUGGUAUGACAGGGUUGGCACAUACCUGUCUAGGCUAGGGUUUGAGAAAAGUGUUAGUGAAGCUACACUUUAUGUGGAAAAGUCAGAAAGUGAGACCUUGCUGAUUAUAUCUCUCUAUGUGGAUGACUUACUUGUGACUAGAAGCAAAGAUGAAUUGAUCAGUGAAUUCAAAGUGCAAAUGCAAGAAGUGUUUGAAAUGACAGAUUUGGGAGUCAUGACAUACUUUCUUGGUAUGGAAGUGAACCAAUCUAAUCAAGGCAUUUUCAUUAGCCAACAUGCCUUUGCCUUAAAGAUUCUCAACAGAUUUUGCAUGUUGAAUUGCAAAACAGUCAGCACACCAGUAGCACAAGGAGACAAGCUGAUUAGUAGUGGAAAUCAGAAAAGGGUUGAUGAGAAAGAAUAUCGAAGCCUGGUAGGUUGCUUGCUCUAUUUAAUAGCAAAUAGACCUGAUAUUAUGUUUGGUGUUAGUCUUUUAUCAAGAUUUAUGCACUGCUAUGAUGUGACUCAUUUCAAAGCAGCUAAGAGAAUCCUCAGAUAUGUAAAGGGGACCUUGAACUAUAGAGUUAAGUUUGAGAAGGGAAAGGAGUUUAAGCUAUCAGGAUACUCUGAUAGUGAUUGGGCUGGCUCUGUCGAUGACAUGAAGAGUACCUCUGGUUAUUUCUUUACCCUUGGAUCAGGAGUUUUCUGCUAGAGAUCAAAGAAGCAACAAACUGUUGCUUAGUCCACAGCUGAAGCAGAAUACAUUGCAGCUGCUGCUGCUGUUAAUCAAGCCAUUUGACUUAGGAAGCUCCUGUAUGAUCUUAAUGAUGAACAAGCUGAACCAACUGAAAUCACGGUUGAUAACCAAUCAGCUGUUGCCAUAGAUAAAAAUCCAGUCUUUCAUGGAAAGACUAAACAUUUGAAGAUCAAAUUUCAUUUUGUUCGAAAGGCUGAACAGUUAAAAGAAAUCAAUCUUGUUCAUUGCAGCUCAGAAAUUCAAUUGGCUAAUAUUCUGACUAAGUCAUUAGGAGCUACUAGACUUGAAACUUUAAGAAGCAAAAUUGGUGUUUGUUGCAUACAGUCUAAGGAGGAGUGUUGAGCAUUGGCCUAAACUGCAACAAAAGACCAGCAGCAACUCAGCACAAGACCAGCAGCAGCUCCAGCUGAAGUGCAGCAUUGAAACUGAACCGAAUGCAACAGUUUAUUUUGUUCCUAUGUAACUUUGUUUAGUUUACUUGUAAUUUGUUCACAAAGUUAGUAGGAUUAGUUUAUGAUUUGAAUUGAUGUAAUAGCUGAUAUGUCAGCUUACUUUUGUGUGUAAUUUAAGUUAGUAUUACUCAUGUAUUAGUGGGAGCAAUUAAGUCAUUAGGUAACUAUCCAACUCUUUUGUAACUUUCUUAUAUUUUUCAAAUUUUGAAUGAAAAUCAAGGUGAAUUUUUCAGUUAUCAUUCUUGCAAAGUUUCUUUCUAUUUUUGCUUCGGUUCUUUUUUUUUUCUUUGUCUUUUGUUUUCCUGCCAAAAGUUCCAACAGUUAGCAACAACAUGAGGAAGAUCAAGCGCAAUACACUCCAAGUGUGGAAGCGCAUCAACAAUGGCCUUGCUCAAUGUUCUGGUACCACCUCCAACAUCCACCAAAGAAUUCAAUCCCUCGAACACCUUUUUGCACUUGUCAAUAAGAAUGCUAUUAACCAAUCGAUCAUUGCUAACCAUGCCUUCAUUAAACAAACUAUCUAGCUUUUGGUCAUGUCUGGUAUAGUCCUAGAAUGUCUUUCCGUGUGUGGUAUCAAAUGGAGUAUGAUCAUUAUUUUGGAACCAAGUGCCUAAACAAUACCAAGGCUCUGUUAAAAUAGGAUCCAACAUAGCUUUCAAAAAAGGUGUUACCCUUAAUGGAUUAUCCUUAAAGUAGCAGAUGAGAAGCAUUCGUAAGAACAUAACCGUCUUCUUGAGCAUCAUUGCAUAAAUUUCGUUGUGCAAAGAAGCCCGAAUGAGCUAAAAUACGCAUGAGCCGGUAGAUGUUGCAUGCCUUGGUAGGGUUGAGCAUUGGUAGUGCAGCAUCCAAAUCAGUAAUGGCCAUAGGCUUGCCAUGAUUUUGAAUAAUAUAUGGGAUACCUAAAUGAAUUGCACAUUUGAGAGACAUGGAAUUUAUGAAAUUCAAAAUGUGGUUCAAAACGUGAGCUUGAGCUUGAAGUAGCUCAUUAACAUGCUCUCCGUUCGCAUUCACCAUAUCCAUCUUAGCCAAGGUCUUUUGGCCUUGCUCUUAACCCACGUAACACUGGAAUUUGCUAUUUAUAGACCGUGAAACAUAUCUGCAAGUAUGGCUUUACUCUGAAUCCGCACAACACUGAAAUUUUCUAUUUUUAGAAUAUUUUUAUGCCUUUUCGUGGUCAUUGGUUCCCAUGCUGUAACGUCUCAAUAAUAGAGUUAAAUCUGUUCAUUGUAAUAAUAGUAAAUGAGCCCAACGCUACCAUAAAGAAAUAUCAUUAAAGAUAUUGCAAAGGCGAAUUGAUCUUCCAUCCAAUGUUGUCUUCAAUCAACCUUUAAAACAAAAUAAUUAAGAAAUUAAAGAAAUAUCAUUUCUCUUAAAUAAUAAUUGAUAUUAUUAGUAUAAUAUUUUUAUUAUUGUAAAAUAGAUAUUCAUGCAGCCCCAUAAUGCCCAAGAAUUCAUUUUCUUGCAACUCUCGUACCCCUAAAAAUUUAUAAGGAACUUUAAUUAUAUUUAUUAGAGUUUUAUAACUUAUGGUGGUUGGGGCCCUAAAAAUAGAAAAUAUGUAUAAGUCUUCUAUAUAUACCAAAGUUAAAGUUGAAUAAUCCUUUCAUUUUUUUGUUAUUCUCUCUUGUUCAUUCUAUAUUUCUUUUUGUUUUAUAAUACAUUAUCAGCACAAUUUUGUUAACGAGUAAUAGGUUCUUAGUUUGUGCAAAAUUUUGUUGGGCUCUAAGCAUUGGAAUUUAAUUGUUUGGUUCAAAAAAUCGUGUGUGGUUGCUUGAGAUUUGUUUGGGGACGACCACUUUCUCUUCACUACAAAGAAUGCUCAUAGUCUAUACUUCUCAUCCACAACUACCUAAGUAAGUCUAAUAUUUUUUUUUUGAAAUUUGAUUCGAUUUCUAUUAAGAAGUUAAAUUUAUAUAAUUCUCUAUUUGCAUUUCUAUGAAUUUAUCAAUCCCUUCUUUAGUUUAAUAAUUGGAAUUUCUACGUGAAGUAUAUGUUUUUUUUUAUAGAAUUGAUUGGUUUAGUUUUAAUUUUGAUUAAAAUAUAUUAUUGUUCUUAUAUCUUCUUAUCUAUUGUAAAGGUGUAUUAUAUGCAAUAAUUAGUUUGGAGUUUAAAUUUAUACAUGCUUGAGAAUUGUAUAGUGAAUUUUUUGCUACAACCUCACUAAGAAAGUGUGUAAAAGAUUCUUUAAAAUUAUGGAUUAGUUUUGAAAGAAAAUUAUGAUAAAAAAAAUUAUCAUUAGAUAUAUUUCAUUCUCUGAAGUGAAUGUAGCAUUACAUAAUCAAUCUUAAAAAUGACAAAGUUAUAAUUGCGAUUAUGAGCAUGGUCUUUGAUGAGCUAUUAUGGGUAUAAUAAUCACUAUAUUAAUUAUAGUGAUUAUAAUAAUUCUUUUCUCUCCUAUAAAGUGGAAUGAUAAAUUUAAAUAAGAGAAUCAUUAAAGUUUUCCAAAUAGCCCUUCAAAGAGAACAAAAAUAUUUUUGUGAUACUCAAAAAUCAUUUGACACAUGCAUAUUGAUUGUGUAUUUUUCCAAGGUUUCAUAAAAAAAAAUGAAAGGGAACAAUGUGUAUACACAUUUGAUCAUUUUUUAUCAUUGAAAUUAAUUUGGAAAUUUGACAAUUUUGACAUAAUCCCUGAAGCGAAUAUUGCACAAAAUUUUAUAGAAAUUAUAUUUCUUUUGUUGAGUUAAUGACAUUAUGGACCUCUCAUAUAAAAGGAAUGACAACGGAAUUAUAAAUUGUCACAAUUUAUAUUGACAUUAUAAUUCUAUUAGUUGUGGUAAAGUACAAGGCUAAAAAAAAGAUGAUGCUAAUAAACAUUAUGAUAAAUAUGAAUGCAUUGUGUUCAUGCCUGUAGCAUGUCUAAAACAUUAAAUUUGGCAAAGUCUUAUAAAAAAAAAGAGAGAUUCCAUAUUUCAUGAUAAUAAAAUUUGAAUUAAAAUUAUGCUAUAAGAGUUGGAGGUUAGAAAUUUUUAAUUUAAAACCUUUGCAAAUUUAAUAUCUUAUUGUGACCUAAUAAUAUUUUGUGUUUUAUUGUGUUACGGUAUAUAAAAAGUUAUCUAACCGCAUGCUUGUUAAAGUGAUUGAGUAAUGACAUUAAUUUAUUUUUUGCUUUUAGUAUAUAUAUUAUUUAUACUUAUUCUUUAUACAAAUAUACAUAUUCUUUUAUAUGAAUAUGUAGGGAUUGUCCCGAUUAAGAAACAAACAAAUAAAAAAUAGCGGAAGUAAUUGAGAAAUUGAGUACACAAAUUUAACGUGGGAAAACCCCUUUAAAGAGGAUAAAAAACCACGGACAAAAGUAAUUUUACUAUAAUGGCAAAAGAACGAAGAGUAUAAAAGAUGGAGAUAAAAAUUAAACCCCAAAACAAAGAACCCUCAAAACGUAAAUACUAAAUUCUCCAAAAGUGUUAUGAGUUCUAAUCUUUUUUAAUGGGUGUAUUUUCUAAGGUUAUAAAAGAGCGUAUUUAUAGGCUAAAUUUGUAGGUCAAAUAAUAAUAAAAUAAUAUAGACUAAUCAAAGUUCGACUAAAACAGAUAAACAAAGUUUAACUGAGAGAUUACCUCUCAAAUUUGACUGAAAUAUAAGGCAUACUCAACAAAUCUCCACCUUGACUCGUAUUUUCACAACGUCAUCUUUGCCAAAUCUCGCCACGAGUCUAUGUUGAACUAUGUAGGGAAUUAAUUAAGUUGAAUCUAUGCUUAGAAGCUGGAAGACUUCUAGCAUUAUUGCUAAAUCAAAACUAACUCGAGUCUGACUUUCACUAACAGAGUGCCUUAACUUUUCAAAACCUGCAUCCAAAAGAGAACCUUUCUUCAACGAAACAAUCAUACCUUUUUCCCUCCUAUGACCAAGUUGCCUCCACUCCAAACGAGUUGACUUCGACUCUGCAAUGGACGAGGGACGUCUGGUUUCAUCGGUCACUAUAGAACCUUCCAGAAUAUAAAGACUAUUGGUCUUUUUACCUUUUAACAAAACAAGAGCCCCACAAGACACCUUAAUGACGCUUGACUCAAUGUUGAUUUUGUAACCUUUUGAGUCUAAAAUACACAAGCAGAUGUGAUUCUUUUGUAAACCGGAACCAUACCUGACAUUUGAGAGUGUCCUAAUCGUCCCAUCGUGCAUCCUAAUUUUAACAGUGUAACACCCCUAGCCCCUCUCUGUCAUGAAUUAGGGUUACAAGCAUGACCGUACAAUUAUAAAUUCUACAAUUAAUUUCAUUCAAUAGCAUAAACAUAACUUAAAUCAUUCAUGCAUACACAUAUUAUCCCUAAAUCGAGCCCUCGAGGCCCUAAAAAUACUUUAGAAAAAAAACUAGACCAAUUUGAAAUCAUUUGAAAACCCUAGGAAAAAUUCACAAAAUUUUGAAAAUAAGGGUCACAUGGCCGUGUAUUUAGGUCGAGUGCCUCACACGGUUGAGACACAGGCCCGUGUCUCAGGCUGUGUAAUAAUCGAAAUAGGGACAUACGGCUGUAUCCCAGCCCGUGCCUAUACCUGUAUAACAUUUGAAUUUGAGACACACGACCGUGUCCCAGCCUGUGUAACUCACUAAGUAAGGUUACACGGCCAUGUCACACACCCGUGUGCUAUCUGACUUGCAUCCUCAGUACUCAACAGAUGACACAUGGCCAUGUCACCAAGCCAUGUGACACAUGCCCGUGUGUUUGGCCGUUUGGACCUAAAAUGUACCUUAAACAACAAGUUUACCAUUUCCUACUUUCUUGGGUAUUAAGCAACUCAAAAACCAAUCAUUUAACCUAUUCAAAAUACGAUCAAACAUACUCAUAACAUGCCAAAACAAUCAUCUUAGGUGACUAACCAAUGUACCCUCAUUGGUACCACAAUUUAUAUCAUCAAAACAUAUCAUCAAUGCCUAAAAUUCAGAAUUUUCCCCUAAGGUCGUGCCCGUCAUUCCGAUCGACUAUAGGCCUUCCGUAGGGUCGAUAUGUGAUUAAAUAUAUUAUAAAACAUGAAAUUUGGUCAUUUUUUGGUUUAUUUUCUGCUAUCCACAAGUGUAUUUGGGAUGUCAUAUGAUAAUUAAAAUUGAGAACAAAAUAUUUAAUUUGUAUCUGAUAUGUUAUGUAUGAUUUUUGCCUUGAUCAUAUUUGAUUUUAGGAUGGGCUAUAAAUAUUAUGUGGAGGAAGUGUUUCUGUGAGAGGUGACAUCUCGCCCUCUACACUGGCAGCACUGCUGCAAAUAUUCUGUAAGUGUCUUAACGACAGUAAGUGGUGUGUAGGGUUGGAUAAGUGUUUCAAACCCCAUGUGGUGUGUUGGGAUGGUUGAAGAUGGUGUAUAGCAGUUGGGGGCAGGAAUUAUAUAUGUAUGUUUGUAUCUGAAUUGCUUUGUUAAGAUUCUGUACUGUUAAAUUGUCUGGUAAUAAUUAUCUGUUUGAGUUGGUUGUUGCACACUAAGUUACAAAAACUCAUUCUCUAUUUGUUUGUCACUUUUAGGUAACUCAUAGACUUAGGAGGGUCGGUGCGACAGGAGCUCGGUUAUAUUAGUAUUUUGUUCUUCCUAACUAUUUUAAAUUGGGUUUAAGUGUUUUGUAAAAUUUGGAUUGUUUGGAUAUUUUGGGAUCGUUUUGGUUUUGGAUUUUAUUUUUUACUUCUGCAUGAUACUGAUAAAACUAUUUAUCGAAAAUGUCUAUUUCCCUGCAAACAAUCGAUUUCGAGAAAAUAAACUUGGUUUUCUAAAAUAUAAUGACCUAAGAAUUUCCAUUGCAAAGUAUCCGUUUUAUUUAGAAAUGUAAACAAAUAAUGUUUUCAAUUAAAUAGUAAUGUCAAAUAUGUUUUCUAAUAAAACGAGUUUUUAAGUAACAAAAUUUUAUGAUGUUUUUUAAAAUAUACGAAAAUUAGAUUUAUAAUUAUUUUACGUAACAUAUCCAAAUCCAACCGAAAUAUUUAGGCCGAAUUUAGGAUAUAGUUGUAUGGUUGUUUCCGUUUGAAUGAAAAUAAUCAUCUUCACUAAAAAUUUAAUAAAUUGACUUGAACUUUAUAAGCAAACUAAAAUAUGAUCACGUAUAUUAUUAUUUGUUUAUCGGAUAACAUUUCAUUCUUAUCAGGCUGCAAGAUUGAAAUCUUAUUGAUAAAGAAGAAACAAAACCAAAAAAAUUUUGAAGACCCAAAAUCCAGAAAAAAGGUAAAAGUAUUAUAAUACGUUUUUUACUAUACUUUAAAUUGUAUUUUAGUUUCUUAGAAGAAAAAAUAGUAAAAUAUUCCCUGUAGUAAGAAAAAUAGUCUCUCCGUUAAAAUUGUACUAUUGAAUGUCUAUUUUGGUGUUUAUAUAUAUAGUAUAAUGAUAAAUUUAGCCUUCAAUUUUUACAUAUUUAUUGAAUUUGACCCCUACUCUUUUAUUGAAAGUAAACAGAAAUUUUUUAGAAAAGAAUAAGUCUAAAAGCCAAAAAGAUUUUAGUAGUAAAAUUUAAAAAAAUCAAUUAAACCCUUUUAAAAUUUAAAAAUUAUAAAUAAAUUUAUAAAAAAGUUAUAAAAAUUAAAAUUAUAAAGUUUUAUUAAAAUAACAAUACCAUCUCAAUAAAAGAAUAGGGGUCAAAUUUUUAAAAAUCUUAUAACCAUUAGAUUUUAAUGGGUCGGUAUUAUUAUUAAUUAAUUAAAAUUUUAUAAUUUUAAAAAUUGUACAACAUUUUUUGGAAUUUUUUUAUAUUUUUAUGAUUUUUUAAAAUAAUUUUUAAAUUUUACAAGAACUUAAUUGAUUUUUUUUAAUUUGUUACAAAGGCUUUUUUACCCUUUACCCUUACUAAUUUCAAAAAUUUCUAAUUUAAUACCAAUAAAAGAUUAGGGGCCAUAUUGAAUAAAAAUGUAAAGGUUGAGGCUAAAUUUAUUUUUAUACCUUAUAUUUAAACACCAAAUUUUAACAAUGAACUAUUUUACUCACUUAUCUAAUGUACAAGGAAUAAUUUACUAUUUUUUUCAAUAGAAAAAUAAAAUACAAAAAAAAAAUGGUGAUACUCUUAUUCGAAUAUGGUGCUACAAUAUUAUCACAUCUAUCGUUUAUUUAUUAAUUUCAAAAACGAGUUAAAAAAACAGUAUCAGAUUUUUGACAGGUUAAGAAAUUAUAAUGACCGUCCAAGUCCUCAAUCAAUAUAUAUGGCUUUUGGGUUUUCUUUUGUCAGAAUGUGCAUGGCUUUGAUUUUAAGCAACUUGGUGCAUUGAAAAAGUCAAUUCACUUAUUUAUUUUUGAUAACGUGAGUAGUAUAUUUAGUAGAAUUUAAAAGCUUCACAAAACUUUUAAAUCACUGUUUUAUUUGUUUCAAACGUACAUAUUAUAGUAAUAAAAAUAAUUUAAACCUCGCGGAGUCAAUUAUUUAUUGCUUCGAAAGUAUUAGAAAUAUGAAAAAUAGGAAAUUUAUUAAUCUGACUUAACAAAUACAAUUAGAUCUCCAAUACUUAUACACCAAAAAUAAUCAUUAACAGAAUAUACUAACAUUGAACUGUUCUUAACUGAUUUACAUUUCUUAGUUACUAUUGAUAUUCCCCCUACAUAUUCGCUUUGAAAAACAUCAGCAACUAUCACAUUUAUGUAAUAACAAGAAAAAGCACCAAUGUUUAACGGUUUGGUAAGCACAUCAGCAACUUGAUCAUUCGAAGGAGUAGUUGACCUGAAGUUGUUCGUUAAGCAUCUUGUCACGCACAAAACGUAAGUCAAGCUCAACAUGCUUGACACGAGCAUGUAACACUAGAUUUGCUACCAAAGACGUAAUGCUAGAAUUAUCACACCAAAUUAUUGGUGUACCUUUAAUCCUCACACCUAUAUCAUCUAGCAGAGAACGAAACCAUGUCACUUCGGAUGUUGCAUUAGCUAGACUUCUAUACUCGCCUUUUGAGGUGGAUCGAGAUAUAACACUUUGCUUCUUAGAAGUCCAUCCGAUGAGGUUGUUGCCAAGAUACACACAAAAUCCUGAUGUUGACUUACGAGAGCUAGCCCAAUCAACAUAAGAAAAACCUGUUAAGGAGACAUUCGAAGGCUGAAAAACCAGAACAUGAGUUAGUGUACCUCGAAUAUAACGUAGGAUCCGUUUGACAGCCGUCCAAUGAACAUCAUGUGGACAAUGCAUGUAUUUGCUGACUUUGUUAACAGCAAAUGCUAUGUCAGGUCGAGUCAGACAUACGUACUGCAAACUACCAACAACUUGCCAAUAUUUGGUACCAUCCUCAAGUGGAGAACCAGUCAACGAAGUGAGCGCAGGGGAUUUUACCAUAGGUGUAUUAACUGAUUUAGCAUUAGCCAUAUUAGCUCGCUCCAAGAGUUCUCCAGCAUACUUUUGCUUAGACACAUGCAUACAAUCUCCAUUUGUAUCCACUUGAAGGCCAAGAAAAUAUUUCAACUCCCUUAAAUCCUUAAGGAGAAUGUUUGGUUCAAACAUUGAAUCACAUCAUCUAACUCGGAGCAUACAUCACCUGUCACGGUUAUAUCAUCAACAUAUACAAGAAGAAAAAUACAACCAGAUAGAGUUUGUUUGAAAAAUAAUGAUGAAUCAGCUCGUGAACCUAAAAAUUCAGCUGUUGAACUAAAAAACCCCUUAAAUUUUCAAACCAUGCUCUCAAUGCAUGCUUAAAAGCAUAGAUAGCUUUGUUCAGUCGACAAGCUAAAGGCUUCCCAUUGACAUCCAAGGCCCCCAAACUAGGUGAUUGUCUCUUGUAUAUAUCUUCAGCCAAAUCACCAUUUAGAAAAGCAUUAUUGACAUCAACUUGGUGUAGUUUAUCCUUUCUCGACACAACUAGCGCAAUAAUAGUUCGAACUGUUUUUGCUUUGACCACAGGACUGAAUGUCUCAUGAUAAUCCAAUUUAACAGCUUGAGAAAAACCUUGAGCAACUAGACGAACUUUGUUUCGAGCCACACUACCAUCUGGGUUCUUUUUUAUCUUGAACAACCAUUGCAGCCAACAAGGAAUCGGUUAGCUGGUGUCGACAAUAAAUCCCAAAUAUUAUUUUUUUACUAGAGCUUGUAGCUCAUCAUGAACAACAUCCUUCCAUUUGGGAAUGGCCAUAGCUUCAUGAAUGUCAAUCGACUCAACUGAGCUAAGAGUAGCAGUGUAAACCUUUGGCUUGUUAACCCCAACUUUGCUCCGAGUAAUCAUAGGAUGAAUAUUACUCUGAGUUGAACCUUGCAUCAUUGAACUAGUAGAAGGAAUUAUAGUCUGAGUAUGCUGACUGUCAUCUGAUUUUGAUACGGACAAGCCUGAAACAGUAGAGUCCUAUUAAGGAUAUUGCAUAGAAUAUUCAGAAGGAGCUGGUAUAGAAACCAUAGGAUGAGUACUCACAGGUGAGGGAAACAUAACAAUUGGAAGAGUAGUAACAAUACUGGAACUAUCAUACUUCCAAAUUGAAACUUUGGCAAAUGGAAAAGCCCUCUUCAUCAAAUUGAACAUGUCGAGAAAUGUACACUCGACUACUCUUAUCCAAACAUUUAUAACCUUUGUGAUUUGGUGCAUAGCCCAGAAAUGUGCAAGGCGUGGACCUAUACUAUAACUUGUGACAGUUGUAUGGUCUCAGCAAAGGAGAGCAUAAGCACCCAAACACAUGAAGCUUCUUAUAAUCAAGAUUCUGACCAAUAAGCUUUUCACUCAGAGAUAUUCCACCUAACACGUUUGUAGGAAGCAAAUUCAUGACAUACUCAAAGUAAAAGGCAUCAGUCCAAUAAGAUAAGGUAAGGAUGCAUGAGCAAGCAUAACCAAACCAGUUUCCACAAUCUUCCAAUGACGCCUUUCCACCAACCCAUUUUGCUCAGAUGUGUGCAGACAAGUGAGUUGAUGAGCUAUACCACAACCCUUGAUAUAUGAAGUAAAGCUGCGAAACUCACCUCUCUCAUCUGUCUGAAGUUUUUUGAUCUUGACACCUAGCUGAAGUUCAACAUGAGUUUUGAAAUUCAAAAACAUUUGCAACGCAUCAGAUUUCUUGCGAAGAAAAUAUAUCCAUGCGUGCCUUGAAAACACAUCUACAGACAAAAUGUAAUACUGUUUGAAAUCAAUUUUCAAAUCUAAACCUACUUUAUACACUUAAAUUUUCCAGCGAAAUUUUCAAAAAAUUAUAGCAGCUGUGAAUAAUUAACAUAUUCUAAAAUAAAUAACACUGUUUUUAUCAUGUAUGUAUAAGAACCAUACUCAAUCUCAUCGUAAAACCCUAAUAAUAAAUAUAAAUAACAUUUCAACUAAUUUCAAGACUUCCUAAUAAUCCAUAUCAUGCAUCCUAAAUUAUCAGUUUUUAAAACAUUAUAUCCCAUGCCAUGGAUCCAUAAACAAUAAUAAUGACAAUAUCAAUAUUGAGAACCGAAUUAAUAAUAAUAUUCUUAGGUAAAGUCCAUGACAAGCUGGGACCCUCCAUAUGUCAAGCCCGCGUUCUAGCCCGUUGGAGUAUCUGAAAAGAUGGAAAAUAGGAGAGUGAGAUAGAGAGGCUUAGUGGGAGACAUUUUACAAUAGAUCAAUUCAAUAUUUGAACAUGCAUGUCAAUCAUUAUAAUCAAAUUCACAUAAUAACCUUAACAAUAUGAUAAUUCAGUUUCUGUCACUCUAGACAAGCAGACAUUAACACUCAAUCGAAUUCAAUUGAACAAUUCUACUAGAGAGUCAUAAUAUCAUUCACAGUGGGUAUAUGCACAUUUAUCAGUUCAGUCAUUUCAUCAGGUGCCUUUCAAUGAUGAUGCAUAUUAUGCAAUGCAACAUUCGUUUAACAUUUCUUUUAACAUUCAUUAAUCUCACCCCUGAUCACUAGCUCUCCAAACAGGGAGUUCCCUAGAACCCUUUCUACCUUUUUACUCAUCUCGUGGACUUUUACCACUACAUUCUUUUGGGUGUAGACAAAAGUUGUCGUUCGGCUGAAGAUCCACAACUACUCCCAGAUAAAAGUUUCUAGAGGGAUCGUGGAUGGCCAGUAAAUAAAGUCAUAGUUGGAAUCUACUAAGACUUUGAAUCCGUAGCGAACAUUCAUUUAUGCAGUAUGGACUAUCGUUCUUCCACCUUUCAUAACAUCCCCCAUGCAUAUGCAAUAUAAUUAGAUCUUUCAGUUUGAUCAUUCAACAUUCUACCUCAUAGCAUAAAUACGGCAAUAAAUAUAUCAACCAUUGAGGCAUAAGAAACAUUUAUUUGGCAUGUAUAACAGUUUGUAAAUAUAUAUAAUCAUUCACAAAUUUAAACAAACAUUCCUAAGAAAUUAUAUUCUAUUGGUAACCAUAAAAUCAUUCACGAAUUUAUGGCAUCAACCAUAAAUAUUUAAAUCAUAAAUUCAUUCAUUCAUGUGUUUAUCCAUUCUAUUCCUAGUCCGGGACCUAAUUGUAAAAUCUAGUUCUCUAGAUGCCAUUAAAAACCUAAUCAAGGGCUGAGUUUUAAAAAAUAAAUAUAGAUAAAGAAAAGCUGUAAUUUUUAGGUUUCAGGGGCCACACUUUAUGUGACCAACCCGUGUAUGAAGCCCCAAGCCCUAUGAGAUGCGUAAAGGUGAAGGUGUAGGAAUAGGCCGCGUACGAUGUAAAGGGGGUGAGUUGUAGGAGCCACAUGGCCGUGUGACCAGGCUGUGUGCAAGUCUCCAAGCCAUGUACAAAGCAUGAAUGCAAGGGAAAGCAAGGGAACAUAGCCUUGUGAGGGACCGUGUAACCUACAUGGGUGGGCCACAAGCCCCUGUGGUAGACUGUGUAUACCUGGCAGUUUUGAAUUUUGACCCGAUUUUUCAUAAAAUGUCACCCACCUUACUUUUUCGGGAUCUCAAGCAACUACCCCACGUUCAAGCUCAAUCCAAACACCUACAAUGGCCUUUCAAUUGGCAAAACGAGAUUAUCAAUAAGGGGUUUUCAAGAUUUGAGGGAGUUUUGACAAAAACUUUAAAGAUUCAAUAACAUAUUGAAAUAUCUGUUAAAGUUUGUUGUUACCCAAGAUUGGAAGGUCCUAAUUGGUAGGGAACAAGAUACUUACUAAUUUUUUUACAAGGAUUUGACAAGUAAGUACUGCAAACUUCAAUGAUUUUGAUGAAGACGCUAGAUUAGGGCUUGAUUGCAAGGAUUCAAGAAUUCAAAGAUUCUUUUUCCAGCUGUAAGGUUUUGAGAACAAAAUUGUAAGAGAGAGUUUUUUGAGAUUAUGAAGUAGAGGUCAGGUUUUUAAUUUGCUAAAAUAACAAAUGGGAAUUUUAGUUAAUUAGGAAGAGACUUUUAAAAAAUUGGGUUGAGCAAGAGUUUGAGGUCUAAUGGGCAAAUAGCCUAGUUGUAUUAUUUGGGAUGUUACAACUCUUAGUUCUCUAUACUUUCUACCAAGCUAUUAACCACUAGGCUAGGAUUUAAUUCUUAAUAAGUACUAAAAAUCUAACAUUAUUAUUUGUGAUGUUACAACUCUCCCCUCCUUAAAGGAAUUUCAUCCUUGAAAUUUUACCUGUUUUGAAUAAGUAAGGAUACUGUUGAUGAAAUGAAUCCUUUGUUUCCCACAUAACUUCCUCAACUCCAUGGUUUCGCCACAACACUUUCGCUAAAGGAAUUUGCUUCAUUCUCAGAACUUUCACAUCUUUUUCAUGAAUUCUAACGAGUUUUUCUUCAAAGGAAAAAUCAUAUUGUACCUCAAUUUCUUCAAUAGGCACAAUAUGCAAUUGAUCAAAACGAUAACGUUUUAGCAUGGAAACAUGGAAGAUGUCAUGGAUACAAUCCAAUUCAGGUGGUAACUCAAGUUGAUAAGCCACAGGACCAAUUUUUUUAAGGAUUUGGUGUGGUCCUAUGAAGUAAGGACAGAGUUUCCCUUUUUGACCAAACCUUAACACCUUUCUCUAUGGUGAUACUUUUAGAAAGACUUGAUCUCCCACAUUGCACUCAAUAUCUUUUCUUUUAAGGUCUGCAUAACAUUUUUGUUUAUUGGAAGUUGCUUAAAACCUCUCCUAUAUCAGCUUUAUUCUUCCUUUGGACUCUUGAACUAAUUCGAGACAUAGAAAUUUUCUUUCUCCCAGUUCAAUCCAACUCAAAAGGGUUCUACACUUUUGUCCUUACAAGGCUUCAUAUGGAGCCAUUUGGAUGCUUGCUUGAAAACUGUUGUUAUACGAAAAUUCAGCUAAGGGUAAAUGAUCUUCCCAACUGCCUCGGAAAUCAAUAAUAAAUUCUCUCAACAUGUCUUCUAGAAUUUGGAUUACCUACUCGAUUUGACCGUUAGACUGCGGAUGAAAAGCAGUGCUAAAAUAUAAACGUGUUCUCAAUGAAUCUUGUAGUUUUUUCUAGAAUUGAGAUGUAAAACGGGGAUUUUGAUCUGAAAAAUAGACAAGGGUACUCCAUGCAAUCUGAUUAUUUUGGAGAUGUACAACUUUGCUAACCUCUGUAGGGAAUAAUUUUUGCGUACUGGUAAGAAGUGAGCUAACUUAGUUAACCAAUCCACUAUAACAUAAAUUGAAUCUUUCGUAGUCAAUGUUAACGGUAACCCACUAAAAAAGUCCAUCGUUAUGUGCUCCCACUUCCAUUGUGGAAUUUUAAUAGGUUGCAAUAGCCUAGAAGGAAACUGAUGCUCCAUUUCCACUUGCUGACAAGUCAAACACUUAACUACAAAGUCUAUUAUAUCUCAUUUCAAACCUGGCCACUAGUAUAACUCCUUGAUGUCUUAAUACAUCUUUGUUCCUCCGAGAUGCAUGUCAUAAGGGCUAGCAUGCGCUUCUGGAAGCAUGGUUUGUCUUAAUUAUUCAUCUUUGAGCACACAAAACCUUCAUCGGAAACACAAUACUCCAUUAUCAUUCAAUGUGAAAUCUUUGAUUUUACUCUCUUCUAUCUGCUUAAUAUGGGGUAACAAGGUUAUGUCUAAAGGUUUACCUUGCAACUCGACUAACACACUUCCAUUGUCAUGCAAACUUAACCUUGCUAAUAUUGCUCUUAAUUCAGUCAUCGACUUUCAGCUAAAGGCAUCUACCAUAACAUUAGCUUUCCCUAAAUGGUAAUCAAUCACACAAUCAUAAUCUUUCAACAACUCUAACUAUCUCCUUGUAUAAGGUUCAAUUCGUUUUAGGUAAGGAGGUAUUUAAGGCUUUUAUAAUCAGUAUAGAUGUAACACUUGUCCCCAUACAAGUAAUGUCUCCAUAUUUUUAGGGCCAAAACUACUACGACCAAUUUUAGAUCAUGAGUUGGAUAAUUGCAUUCAUGAGUUUUCAAUUGUCUUGAUGCAUAGGUGGUAUCUUACCAUCUUGAAUUAACACACAACCAAGGCCUAUGUAGGACGCAUCACUGUACAUCUCAUAUUCUUUCCCAAAUUCAGGUUGAAUUAACACGGGUGCUUGAGUUAAAACAAUUUUGAGCUUUUUGAAACUAGUGUGCUAUUCUUCUGUCCACUUAAAAGGAACAUCAUUUCUAAGUAGUUUAGUGAGAAGGGCAGCUAUUACGGAGAAUCAUUCAACAAAUCUGCGAUAAUACCUUGUUAAGCCCAAAAAAUUAUGGAUUUUUAAAACAUUUUUUGGUUGUUUCCAUUCAAGGAUUGUUUUCACUUUCUUGGGAUCUACUCAGAUACCCUUGGUGGAUACCACAUGUCCCAAAAACAUAACUUCUUUAAGCCAAAAUUCACAUUUACUCAACUUGGCAUAAAGUUUCUUUUCACGAAGAUUUGUAAGACUUUCCUAAGGUGUUUAUUAUAUUCAAGUUUGAUUUUAGAAUAAACUAAGAUGUCAUCAAUGACUACCAUAACAAAUUGAUCAAAGAAGGGUUCAAAUUCACAAUUCAUAAGGUCCAUAAAAGUGAAUGGGGUAUUGGUUAAACCAAAUGGCAUUACAAGGAACUCACAGUGCUCGUAACAGGUUCUAAAGGCAGUUUUAGGUACAUUUUCUUCUUUAACUUCUAGAAAUACUUUAGUCUUAGGCCUAUCUUUGAAAACACUGUGGCUCCCCUAAACUGGUCAAACAAGUCAUCUAUUCUAGGUAAAGGAUAUUUGUUUCUUACGGUAAUCAAUGCAAAGUCUAAGGGUUCCAUCUUUCUUUUUCACAAAAAAGAUUGGCGCUCCCUAUGGUGACAUGCUAGGCCUAAUAAACCUGCGAUCCAAAAGUUCCUGAAGUUGGAUUUUCAGUUCAUACAAUUCUUUUGGGGCUAUACAAUAAGGAGCUAUAGAUACGGGAUUGGUUUCAGACAUAAUUUCAAUUUUGAAUUCUACUUCAAGAUCUGGGGGUAUUCUUAGUAAUUAUUAGGGGAAUACAUCAGGAAAGUCUUUAAUAGUUUAAAUACUUUCUAAGGCAUUACUAUUGGUAUUCCCAUUUAAUACAUAGGCUAAGUAAGCUUCACACAUUUUUCAAAUUAACUUUUCGACAACCGUGGCUGCCACAACAUUAGAUAGAUAGCCUCUAUGUUCCCCAAACAUGACAACUUCUUUGCCCUCGAUUGUUCUUAACUUUACUCUCGGUUGUUCUUAACUUUACUCUCUUUGUGGCACAAUCUAAGUUUGCCAACCCAUACCUAGUAUUAAAUUAAACUCCUCAAAAGGUAACUUUAUAAGGUCAGUAAGAAACACCACCCCUGAAACCUCUACCGAACAUCUUUAAUAGAUUUUAUUAGCGGUGACAGAUUGUCCCAAAGGGCUUAACAUAGUUACUGUAGUGGUGGUCACUUCUACCCUAACACUUAGCUUUUCUGACAUUUCACAAUAUACAUAGGAGUGGGUGGAACUUAUAUCACUUAGGGUGAAAUAAGGGGUAGAGUUAACAAUAAAUGUACAUGCUAUAACAUUGGCAUUAUCCUUUUCCUUACGACCUCUUACGGUGUAGACUAAGGUAGGUUGUCUAGCCUCAGUUUAGUUGGCACUGGCAUUGUUAUUUCAGUUCUGGCCUUAGCCCCUCGGAGGUGGUUGGGUCAGCUUCUGGUUUUCUGUCUGAUUUUGAGCUAGAGCUUGGUUUAGACCUGUACGUUGCGAACAAUUUCUAAUAAGGUGGUCCAUCGAACCACAGACAUAAUAGAUACCUUUCUUUUUCCAAUACUCACCGGGGCUUACCACAGUAAUCAUAUUUGGGUUUUUCAUUUUUAUCAUUCACCUCAGCUCCCUUUUGUUGUGGUUUAAUUUCUCUAGUCCGUUUAAUAAGACGGAUGUCCGAACCAAAGUUACCCGAAUAUCUUUUAACUAAACUUCAACUUUUCGCUCAUUCAAUAUGAGUUGUCUAUUUAAUCUUCUUAGCAAUUUUGGCUUUCUCCACCAGACUUUUAGAUACCCUUUCCUAAUGAGUGGCAACAUGUAUACUAAUAUCACUUUGCAACCCAUUUUCAAAUUGCACACUUUUAACCUGUUCAGUGGUUAUCAUUUUCUGGGCAUAACGACUAAGUUUCAAAAAUUCAGCCACAUAUUCAGCUAUUAACUUAUCAUCCUGUUUCAGUUCAAGAAAUUCAAGUCUGCGAGCCUCCACAUAUCUUGCACCCACAAAAUUUCUUUAAAAAUUUUCCAAAAAAUAUUUCCAUUUGAUACGUUCAACCUAAGUACCUUUUUCAACAGCCUGCCACCAAUGAUAGACCUUUUCCCUUAAUAAGGACAUUGUACCUUUUAGUUUCUGCUCUGGGGUACAUUCUAGAUAUCAACCUUGUCGUAAUCUGACAUUGAGGCCAUGUUCCACCACUAGAUCUCCCAUGCCCUUGACCACGAAGCCUAGUUACUUUAUUGGACCGAAAUGCCUGAGGCGGUGGUUGUCCAACAAAUGUAAGAAUGGCUAUAGUAGACGGAGAAGCAAAUGAUAACGAUUUGUUCUCCAUCACAAGAGUGGCUGAAAACGUGGCCUGAGAUAGAUGUACUUGUUGACGGGCUCCAGCAUCCAACCGCGUCAUCGUUAUGCCUUGUAAAUUGAAUGGCACUUGACUCGUCGUUAUUAUAGAAAUGACAUAGACAUAUUCUGGAGGAAAGCCAUUAAGAAUGGUUGAUUGAUACUCCUCUAGAGAGAUAUGCUGAUCACACCCAUCCAUUGAAUCACAAAGGUGUUUAAUUUUAGCCAAAUAGGCUGACAUCGAAAGCUUAUUCUUUUUAAAAUUAUGCAGCAAAAAACGAUACCUCAUGGCUUUAGUAGCGGAUUGAGUUCCAAAAAUGUGCAUGAGAGCACCCCCAAAGUUCAAACGCAGAAGAUGAAUCCCAGUCAACUAAUUAUGCAGCGAAGCACUUCCUGUGGAAAGAAGCCAAGCAAACAACGUUGAAUCUUGUUGUUCAUACUGUGCAUACGCUAGGUUUUCAACAGUAAGACCACUGGCCCCAAUAACUUCUUUUGAGGGUAUAUGAACUGUUCCAUCAGCAAAAGAAUGUAAUUUGUGAGUUUUGAUUACCAGUAAAACAUACUACUUCCAAGCCAAGAAGGUACUGUUAUCAAUAAGCACUGCUACUUUAUGUGAAGCAAAAUCAAAUGGAAUGAAAAAUUUCUUGAUUGUUGAUUCUUUCAAAGGUCGCAGCAUCCAUAGCUAACAGUAAUGCUCUGUAAUGCUAAUCUGACGACAGAGACGAGUUAGGGGUGUUACACCAAUGGUUUUAAAAUCACAAGGCCAAAAUAUCAGAAAUUAAACACAUAACACUUACCGAUUAUCCGUGCACUAUCACUGCAUGUUAGCAUCUUUUACAAAAUACUAUCACUUUCAUAUAACAUAUAUAUCAUGUAUACAUUUGCACUUUUCACAACAGAUACCAUAUCCACAUAUCACAUACUUGAGCUUCUUAUCACCAUGCACAAUUUCAUAAUCAUAUAAGCACAAAUCCACAAAACAAAUAUAGAUACAAGAAAACUUAUGCUCAGAAUUUAGAAUAGAGAUUUAGGCUACUACUAAAUUCUCCAAUAACACUUGACUCGUGUUUAUGAAUAGUGAUUCCAAACACUCACCCCCAUGCUUUUGCUGAGAAGUCAAAAGCUCAACUAGCUUUUCCUUUAACUUGUAGAAGGCUCCAAUGAAUCCGAGGCUUAACACACAAUAACCGUACAAAGUUCACAACCAGAUUGUAGCUAAGGACUCACUUAAACCGACUAAAGCAUCAACCUAUUCUAAGUUCUCAUGUAACCAAAAUUUAACAUAACAAACUUAGAAUGCUCGUAACUCGGUCUACACUUAACCUUUUUGCCUAAAAUGAAUUAUGUUCAUCUGAUUAGUCAUCUGCUUCAAAUCCUCAACUCUUAAACCACUAAAAACUACCCAAUUCAUAUUAUCAUAAUUUUUCGACAUAUUUUUGGCAAUCUUCACAAAAUUCAUUAAAACGUAAGUAAUUAUCAACGAAACUUCAAGGUGAUUUUAAAAACCUUCUAAUCAUGAUAAAAUGAGUUGAAAAAGACUUCAAAAUCACGUUUUAACUCAAAAUUAAAAAAGGGCAAAACUAGCAGUAAUUAUCACAACUCACUAUACGUAUUCAUCACAAUUAAAAAAGAAACAAAUGGGAUAGGAAGGCUUACUUUCGAAACUUAUGAUAGCGGUUUAGGCUACUCCUAAGCUCUCGUUUAACACUAUGAAUUGUGCCUACAAGCAGUGAUUCCAAAACACUCAUCGUUCACAUUUUCACUUGAAAAUCGCAAGCUCAAACUAGUUUUUGCUCACCUUUCGCCUUACUCAAAAAGGGCCCCAACAGUUCCAAAGCUUUAGAUAUAUAACCACACAACAUAUACAAGCAAUUAGCAGCCAAAAAACGUCUUAAUUCAAACCAAAAUGUAGGUUCAAAACUAGCUUUUCUAAAAACUAGAAUUUUCUACUAGAUUCACUAAAAAUCAAAUAGGGUUUGUCCUAUUUUGAUUACUCUAACUUUUUUCUCAAUUUAGUCACUUUAAAUAAAAUAAUUGUGUGACUUAGUUACUAACUGCCUCUCGACGUACCAACACCAGAGGUGUGAAUACUGCUAUUAAGGAUAGGAAUUAAGGCGGUGUCCACAAGUAUAUGGGUUAGGUUGUAAUAUAGUUUACAACAAAGUAUGAAAGUAUCCGAGAAUCGUACCCUAGGGAGGUGAGACUAAACUAAUAUUAAUUUCUACGUUGAUGGGUCAAGUUAGUAAUUAAAUUAAAUUAUAUUACAAUAUAUCCUAAGGUGAUGAGAAAAUAUCUUUUAUAAAAAUAAGAUAAUUAAGAAUUGGAAUAGAGUGCAGAUUCUAUCAAUUCUAAUGAUGGAAGACUAACUCGUUUUAGUGUUCAUAAUUAUCUUCUACUUAGGGUUCUCCACAAGGCCUCUCUGUCUUCCACUAACCUAAUGUGUCGGCAAAAACUACUUAUCUCUCGAUGCCACAGUCCAGACCGAACGGGGGUAAGGUUUUAACGAAUAGGUAAUACUGAUUUUGGGUUCAUUCCCACCUAUAUGACUUAUUAAAGUCAUCAAGCCUAGGGUUUUAAGUUCUUCCUAUCCCCGACCAACUGGUUUGCUAAGAAUCUCUAAAUAGAAGUUAAUGAAUCCCACAUCCACUCGUUAAUCUUCCUUACCGGAUUAGUUCCCCAUGGAUUUAACACAUGCAAAGAAAUUGAUAGUAAAAUAUAAACAUUAUAAAAGAAAUCAAGAGUAGAGAUGAGAAAAAUCCUGAUAAUUUAAUAACAGAAGCACGAACUAAUGAAAACUUAAUGAAAAACUAAACUGAAUACAAAGCUAAAUAAAAACUAUUCAUGAAGUGUUUAGAUCCUUCUAUUUAUAGGCCUAGGGUUGGUCAUCAAUCAUUGACCUAAUUCGGCUGACGUUUUGCAUUGAAGUUUGUUGUGUGAGCACCCUUGGUUAAUUAAUUCCUCAUGUCAUGUCGGUGUCGCGACACCCACUGGCCUGUGUCGCGACACUAAUGGUAGUUUACGAGUUAGGGCUUGAUUUUAGGAUUGUGUCCCGACACCCUCUUGCUAUGUUGCAAAAGCUUACGAAAUUGAUGAACUAUAAGGAAAGGCUUGGUACUCCAAUUAAAGAACAUAUACUUUUGUUUAUGAAUCUUUGCAUAAGUGGAGGACAAUGGGCAGGUUUGGAUCAUAACACUUAGACAGAGAUGGUGCUCAAAUAUCUAAUAUUAUUAUUUUUAUUAUAUUAUUAAAAAUUCCACGUGUCAACUACCAAUUUGCUAAAGGGUUUUUUUGUAACAGUGAUAAUGGUAUGGGCCCAUAAUGGUUACAAAAUUAUAAUUUCAGUACUGGAUUUGACAAAAAAAUGUAUCUAACUAAAAGAAGUGUUAUAGUUUGAGGGUUGUGCAUUGAACUAAGCCUUUUAUAUAGUAGUGAUAUAAAUAUCUUCUUCUUUUUUUGUACAACGAUUAUUUUCCCUAGCCUAGUCCUAGGAAAGGUGAACAACUAGAUCAAUAGGUUACAAUUUAAAGUUUAGUGACAUAAUUAUCUUUAAUUGCAUUUGGUAUCAUAUACUCAUAUUGAUUUUUAUGACAUUUCAAGUUAACUUGUGACAUGAACUAAGCAAAAAGCUUUAAUAUAGUAUAAAUACUAAAUAAUUGUAUAUUGGGAUACUCGUUCUAUUUAGAUAUUUGAUGUCUACAAAGCGUUAUUGUGGCUUUGUGUUCAAAGGUUAGAUAAUAUUGUGAUUGAAUCUGAUUGUCAAAGUGUGAUCAAUGCUUUAAAUCUUCCAAGUAUUGAUGUGUGAAAAGUCGCAGCAUCCAUAACUAACGGAGCAAUUAGAAGGGAAAAAAAGAAAAGAGCCUACUUUGAUACCAUAUUAGAGAUAUGAAAUAUGAGGAAAUUCGUUAAUCUGACUUAACAAAUACAAUCAGAUAUCCAAUACUUGUACACUAGAAAUGUAUCGCUAAUAGAAUAAAAAAAACUACCCUUAACUACUUAACUAGCAAUGAACUGCUCUUAACUAAUUUACAUUACUUAGUUACUGCUGAUGGAAAGCACUUGUGACACUGUUAUCAACAAUGGAUGUCUUGAUUAUGAAAAAAAUCAAAUCUCAAAUUAAUAAUUUAUUAACUAUUGAAUUUGACGAUUAAACCCCAUCAGAAGCGAAUCCAACAAUUCAUUACGGGGAGCCAAAAUAAAAUUUUAAAAAUUAAAGGGAUUAAAAUUUAAAAAAUUGUUAAAAGAAACUUAAAUUAAAUAAUUCAUAACUAAAAGACACUGAAAGAGAUAUUAUGCCGGUAAAGGGUGACCGUCUACCCUUUAAUUAGGCCAUGAACAUCGGUUGACUAACACCGUUGUUUGUUUGGUUUUUUUUUUUAAAUAAUUAGAGAUUUUAGCUUAGUUGGUGUAAGCAGCAAUUAUUUGUCCAUUUAAUAUUAUAUUUUGGUGGGAGGUCAUUAAUUCAUGAAGAUAAAACGGCGAGGACGGUUGCCGUGUCUCAAUACGCGACUUAGUACGUAAGUGCUUACGUUUGUAUCAUAUAUAUUAUUGAAUAUAUCCUAAUAAGUAAUCUAAUCUAGAUACUGAAAAUCUAAUAAUCUUUGUUAAUUAUAUUAUGGUAAAUUCUGCAUCAAUAUUCACCUUCUUUUCCCUUGUUAAUUUUAAAUUUCUUGAAUGAUAAAAUUUUUAUUUAUGGAGUUCAUUAAUAAAUAUUUUUAUAUAAUUGAUGAAUAUUUUAUAUUUGAAAUUUAUUUAAUAUCAUUUAUUUUAUAUUUGUAAAUAUUUAUAUAUAUAUAUUAAAUUUUUUUAAUAUAUCGAUAAAUUUGAAAUGAUAUAUCGAAAUAGAUCGGUACCGUUAUGUACCAGUUCUAGUAGAAAAAUGAUGUGCCCACCAGUGUUGUAAGCUCCCCGACUCGACCUAGAUGCUAGACAGAAUCUAGAAGACAACAUCAGCCAUCGAGAUGGCCUACCAGGGUUAUCGAAGUUUAAAAAACAGCCAUUUUAAAACCUUCGUUUAAUUUCGUAGAAAAAUUCGAUUACAAACCGUUUUAUUAUUCCUCAAAAUCUUAAUUUCAAUUUACUAGCAAAAGAAAUGAUAUCUAUUGGUUUUAAGGAAAACCGGGGCUUCAUGCAUACAAAUUAAUGAUUAUAGCAUAAUAUCUUAAAAUUUUAAAUAAAAUGUCAUGCAAAAUAAAAUCUCAAAUCUAAAACCUAGGUUCGAUGCCAUAGUUCGAAAUAAAGUAGUACAAAAACUAUAAUAAUAGGAUAACCCAAAUAAUAAGUCUUAAUAAAUUGAAAUUUUGAAACCGAGCCGAGACACUCUAAUUUUCACGUAUGCGUUCCUAACCUGGUGGGUUAUCUUUAAGGAUGAAAAUUUAAGGGGGGAGUGAGCUGUAACGCUUAGUGUGAGUUCAAUCACGAGAAAAUUAGUGCAACAGUUAGUAAGAUGCAUUAGAUAAUAUCGCAUAAAAUAUUCACAAUCAGGCAACAAUUCAAAGUAUCGAUUUUUCAAAGCAACCACCAUUAAUAUAUCGGAACUCACAAUAGUAGUUUUCAGAAUAACCAAAUUUUCAUAUUUACCCACAAUGAACAUAUAUAGACACAUAUAUAUAAUAAUAGAUUUUUGUAUGCACAUGUGUUUAAAAUGCCAUAUAGUUUUGGUUUUUAACAAAAUAGAUCCUACCUCACCACUACACACACUAUAAUGGGAGUUAACCAGAACUCCCUUCUCCAACGCAACGGGAUAUGGAUAAACCACUAUUGGUUCGUAGAUAGUAACUUCCAUUUGACUGUGGACACACAGAAAGUCCCCGUAGUUGGAAUCUGCCUUUAGUUGUGGGUUCACAGCAAAAAGUCCUGCAGAUGAAACCUACUUUUUGGCUAUAGUUUAUACAGCAUAAACCUGCAGCUAGAAUCUGCAUUUGGCAAUGGAUACACAGCAAUACCCACAGAUGGAAUUUGCCUUUGGUUGUGGAUGAUACAAAACAAAUAAAUGCAGAUAAAUUGCCAAACUUCUUCCGAUCACAUCAUCUCAUCCCAUGCAAUGCAAUGCGGCAAUAUUUAAUAUAGAUCAAGUAUGAUAGCAAUUAAUGUACUAAUACAUGACCAAUCAGUAGCAAAAUCAUGCUUUCAUGUGUUCAGAUUAAUAGUAACAUAAGUCAUGUCGUUCAUACGAUCACAAGUAUAGAUACAAUAUUAACAUAUACUAUUCAUAAUUUAUGCAAAUAUACAUAUACAAAUAAACACUGCAUUAAUUCGAUCGAUCAUGGUUUCUAACAUAUUUCAUAUCCUCAGGGAUCCAAUUGCAUAAUUCAAACACUAAAAAUAGUUCAGAACUUAUUCAGGGAUACAUCUGAUCAAAACAUAGAAUUCUAGGUCAUCCUCGAAAUUUACCUAGUUUGAAUAGAUGAGGAUACUGUUGGCGAAACGUGACUUUUGGUUCCCAUGUAGCCUCCUCUGUCCUAUGGUUCUGUCACAAUACUUUCACAAGAGGAAUUUAUUUCCUUUUCAAAACCUUUACGUCUCAAUGAAGAAUUUGAAUUGGUUCUUCCUCAAAGGACAAAUUCGGUCUCAAUUCGAUCUCCUUAAUUGGAAUAAUAUGGGUAGGAUUGGAUCAGUACCGUCUCAACAUAGAGACAUGGAAAACGUCAUGGAUUCGAUCAAGUUCGGGAGGUAAUUCUAAUUGAUAAGCAGCUGGGUCGAUUCUCUUAAGGAUUCGGUACGGUUUUAUGAAUUUUGGACUUAACUUACCCUUUCGAUCGAACAUGAACACCUUUCACCUUGGGGACACUUUCAGGAAGACUUGAUCGCCGACACUGUAUUCAAUGUCCUUCCUCUUUAAGUCAUAUGUAAUUGCAAUGUAUGAGUUUUCAUCCUACGUAGUUCGUGUGCCAUGUGUGGGGUGAAGUCAUAUUCUUUUCGAUUUAGUCCAGUUGUUUCCGAUUCUUUAUCCAUUGUGCGUGUGUUAUGUGUAUCAUAUAAUAUUGUAUUUGAUCGAACAUAUAUUUAUAUUUAUAUUGUACUUGUGAUUGUAUUGUAUUUAAUAAGUUUGUGAAAUUAACAAUUUAAAAAUAUAUAUUUACCUAUUUCUAUUAUAAUAUUGUAUUUGAUAGAACAUAUAUUUAUACUUAUAUUGCACUCGCGAUUAUAUUGUAUUUAAUGCGUUUGUCAAAUUAACAAGGGGGCUCCCAGUUUUGACAUUCACUUUUUCGAGAUUUUAACUUUUUUUUAAAUAGUUACUGAUGUCUUUUUUUUUACAUAAUACUUAGAACUAUUCAUAAUCUUUGUUCAAUCUAUAACCAGGAAGAUAAUACAUUUUAGCGCACUCGAACACACGUCCUCCUGUUUCGGUAACAAUAUCCAUGCCAAUCUAGUUAAGACUCAAUCGGCAUAUUUUUAAUGUUAUAUUUUGGUAUAAUUAAAACGAGAUUGCGUAUUAAUAUUUAUGAAAAAUGGUUUUUUUUUUUCAUCAUCGAUGUUGCUUUUAUGAUUAAAAUUGAGAGAGAAUAUUGUUCAAAGAAAAAUAAAAAAAAUCAAUGAGGUAGUCAUGAACUUGGGGGGCGAAAAUGGCGUGGAGAUAGGUUGACUUGCCUCAAUAGCUAUCUGCUUGCGCAUGUAUCAUAUUAUUGAAUAUAUAUCUAAUCUAUGUGGUAGCGGUCAGGUUUUCAAAGUUUGGGACAUUUAGACAUGAAAUAUAUUGGGGAGAUUUUACUAUGGGUUGAGAAAAAAAUUAUAUUAGGACCAAAAUUUCUAACAAGUUGCAUGAGUUUGACCAUAUGCUAUAUAGCUUUCGGUUUGUAUGUAUUCUGACUUUUGUUUAUCAUUUUGCAUCACAACAGGUCCAUGCUCUCGGGACUGAUACCGUACGGUACUUUGUACUGAUAGUUUAACUUGGAGCCACAUAUCGAAAGUCCACUUUCAAUAUGGCAUCACACGGAGAUUUAAUUAAUUUUUUUACAACAGUUGAUGAAAUCAACCACUUAUUCUUUUAAACAUUAAAUUUUAGUGCAUAAAUUGAUGAAGAGCCCGGCUCCCAUAUGGAAUCUUGUCCAAUCAAACAGGAGUAUCAUAGCCUAUAAAUAGCAUAUUGAGCCGUAUAAUAAUUCACUUCAAAACAAAAAGAUCUUAAAAACAAACAAGACGUCAGCUAAGAUGAAUAUGGGCAAUGCUAAUGGGGAGCAUGCUAUUGAGGCACUCCAAGCACAAGCUCACAUUUGGAGACAUGCUUUCAACUUCGUAAGCUUCAUGUCUCUAAAAUGUGCACUUGAUUUAGGCAUCCUUGAUAUCAUUCAUGAUCAUGGCAAGCCCAUGACUAUUACGGAGCUGGUUUCUGCGCUACAGAUGCUCAACCCUGCUAAAGCAUGCGACAUUUAUAGGCUCAUGCGCAUUCUAGUUCACUCGGACUUCUUUGCACGCCAAAAGUUAGACAAUGAUGCUCAAGAAGAAGGAUAUGUUCUUACCAACUCUUCUCGUAUUUUGCUCAAGAAUAAUCCCUUCUGCAUAACGCCUACUUUGAAAGCUACAAUGGAUCCUAUUAUAACAAAGCCUUGGAGUUUUCUAGGGACCUGGUUCCAAAAUGAUGAUCAUACUCCAUUUGCUACUGCAUAUGGAAAGACAUUGUGGGACUAUUUUACCCAUGAUCCUCAGCUAAAAGAUUUGAUAAAUGAUGGCUUAGCUAGUGAUUCUCAAUUGGUUACUAGUGUUCUAGUUGACAAGUGUAAAGGGGCAUUUGGGGGAUUGGACUCCCUUGUAGAUGUUGGGGGUGGCACAGGAACUACGGCCAAGGCCAUUGCUGAUACAUUUCCACUCAUGGAGUGCACUGUGUUUGAUCUUCCUAAUAUUGUUGCUGGCUUGCAAGGGAGUAAGAACUUGAAAUAUGUUGGAGGCAACAUGUUUGAGGCAUUUCCAGUAGCAGACGCAAUUUUAUUAAAGGUUAAGCUUUACUAAAUUUAUUCGCAUUAUUUUUUUCUGGUAUUUUUACUUUUAUAAAUAAUGCACAACAAAUUCCAUUACACAUGAUAAUAUUCAAAGAUUUGAAGGCAAAUGUAAUCAUAGUUUGUGGGUUAGCUAAUGUUUUAUGUUUUUUGAGCUAAUUAUGAAUGAUAAUUGAACAGAAGGUAUUGCACGAUUGGAAUGAUGAAGGAUGCUUGACAAUUUUGAAGCGAUGUAAAGAGGCCAUUUCAAGCCAAGACAAGGUAGGAAGAAAGUUGAUCAUAAUUGACAUGGUUGUGAGGGAGAAUGAGCAAGUGAAUGAUGAAGCCUCAAGCUUAACUAAAACACAACUCUUUUUUGACAUGUUCAUGUUGGUAUUGGUGGCUGGAAAAGAGAGGCGGGAAGAAGAAUGGGCUAAACUAUUUUUAGAAGCUGGUUUUAGUUAUUACAAAAUUACAACUAUUGUGGGUUUGACAUCUCUCAUUGAGGUUUACCCCUGAGAGCAUUUGGUUAUUGCAUUAUGAGAAUAAUAAUGUGGAGAAAUACAUAGUUGAAGUGGUAAAAUUGUUCUUUGUUGACAUUAAUUACUAGAGUUGUUUGCUGGGAUUUUAAUUGUGUUGCCUAUUCCUAUAAUAAGAAUUGUUGUUGUGUUGUUGUCAUGGUCCUACUCUUCUAGACCUUUCCUAUUGUUAUUACUCUUAAGGUUUGUACUUGGUUGUUUUGUCCGUAAUUUGUUUUACUUCAGUCCAUGCACAUAUAAUUCUAAUUUUAAUAGUUUGGUGGUUGUUGAUUGUUGAUCAGAGCGCAACGGAAGCAUGAUAUUAGAUUUUUAUUAAAUAUUCCAUGAUUAAUUGUGUGGUGUGAUUGGUCAGUUACUGUGUUUGUGGUGGUUUGAAAUGGAGAGUCAGUUUGGUGACUAAUGUGACGUUCCAAGUUCAGGUCGGACCGUUCCUGCCGAGUUUAGGGUGCCACAUCAAAGCCCUAUUUUAAGAUGUUACAAAUAUGCUUGUCAAAGCAGCUACGAAAGAAAUGUAUCCAACUUGCCAUUGCAAAAUGUAAAUCAAAAGAUCCACUUGUCAUUGCCACUUGUCAAGACAUUUGUUGCAAACAAAAAAAUUAUUGGAUGCAAUUUUAAAUUUCAAAAGACUACAUCUAAACCCUAAACCCUAAACCUUUUUCAUAUUUAAAUCAAAAGCAAAUAACAUAAUCAUUAAUCCAUACUUUCAUUUUUUUUGGUUUUGUUUCUUGAUCAUCAAAAACCAUGAUUGUUUAAACCAGAUUAGAUCGACACAUCCUAGGGUUUCAAGGGGGCAUUGCCGCGUAUGGGGGACGUGUGGUCCACAUGCCCGUGUGGUUGGCCAUAUGGCCCUAUUUUAGGCUUGGUUUUUCCCCGAGUCACUUGCAAAAGGAUACACACCUAUCACCGGUGUCUCAAGCGACGUCCCAUGCCUUAACACAUGCACUUAACUCAAAACAGUUGCUCAUACACAUUUUUCAUGGAUGAAUACUUAUGCAGAAUUGGAUACCAUUAAAUUUGCACUCAGACAUUGUAACACCCCUCACCCAGCCCGACCGCCAGACCCGAGUUACAUGACACUACAACAUUAUCGUAACUUUGCCACUUGCACACAUAGCUUCAAGCAAGAACAAUUUUUAUUAGUUUAAGCAUUUUCAGAUGUGAUUGCGACUAGGCAAACAUCAUACAACAUUCGAAAUAGUUUAAAUACAUGCUUAGGGACCAUAUAGCAAAUUUCCAAAAAAAUAUGUAGGUAUUGAUACACAAUAGUAGGAAUCAAUAUUUUGGGAAGUCAGAUAUCGAUACUAAUAAGAAAAUCAAUACCAUUUUAGCAUUCUGGUUUUUCAACUCAAUUUUGAAUCAAAAUGUUUUAUCGAUACAUAAACAAAGGUAUCAGUAUUUUUACCUUGAGUAUCGAUACUUGUAAAAAAGUAUCGAUACCAAAUUCAGUUACUGUUUUCCUGCACAUAGUAAAAAAGUAUCGAUACCAAAUUCAGUUACUGUUUUCCUGCACAUACAUUUUAAGAUCAAGGUAUUGAUAUUUAUGCCCCGAGUAUCGAUACCCCUAUGCAAAUCAACCAAAUCACAACCACAAUAGAUCCUACCUCACCACUACACACUAUAAUGGGAGUUAACCAGAACUCCUUUCUCCAACACAACGGGAUAUGGAUAAACCACUAUUGGUUCGCAGAUAAUAACUUCCAUUUGACUGUGGACACAAAAAAAGUCCCCGUAGUUGGAAUCUGCCUUUAGUUGUGGGUUCACAGCAAAAAGUCCUGCAGAUGAAACCUGCUUUUUGGCUAUAGUUUAUACAGCAUAAACCUACAACUAGAAUCUGCCUUUGGCUAUGGAUACACAGCAAUACCCGUAGAUGGAAUUUGCCUUUGGUUGUGGAUGCACACAAAAUAGAUGAAUGCAGAUAAACUGCCAAACUUCUUCCGAUCACAUCGUCUCAUCCCAUGCAAUGCAAUGCGCCAUAUUUAAUAUAGAUCAAGUAUGAUAGCAAUUAAUAUAUUUAAUAUAGAUCAAGUAUGAUAGCAAUUAAUGCACUAAUACAUGACAAAUCAGUAGCAAAAUCAUGCUUUUCAUGUAUUCGGAUUAAUAGUAACAUAGGUCACGUCGAUCAUACGAUCACAAGUAUAGAUACAAUAUUAACAUAUAUUAUUCGUAAUUUAUGCAAAUAUACAUAUACAAAUAAACACCGCAUUAAUUCGAUCAAUCAAGGUUUCUAACAUAUUUCAUAUCAUCAGGGACCCAAUUGCAUAAUUUCAAACACUAAAAAUAGUUUAGAACUUAUUUAGGGAUUCAUCUGAUCAAAACAUAGAAUUCUGGGUCAAAAUGGUAAAAUCUUAGUUAUAGGGUACAGACGACUGUGUUAUCGGAUCAUGUCGGAGGCCUUGGGUCGUGUGGAUGGAAUGCACACCGCGUGGCUAGGCCAUAUGGGUCAUGCAAAAUUAAGCAUCAGGGGUGACAAGGUUGUUUGGGAGGUCGUGUAGGGGGUCCUAGGCCAUGUAAAAGGUGAUCAUCCUAGGGUUCAAGGGGGCAUGGCCGCGGAUGGGGGACAUGUGGUCCACAGGCCCUUAUGGUUGGCCAUGUGGCUCUAUUUUAGGCUUGGUUUUGCCCCGAGUCACUUGUAAAAGAACACACACCUGUCGUCGUGUCUCGAGCGACAUCCCUUUCGAUCAAAUCUGGUCUUGGAUACCUAAAUCGAGUCCUUCAAACAACAUUAAUUAAGAAUUAAGAAAUGUUAUCAAGGUCUAUCAAGAUUACCGUGAAUUUCGACAAGAAAUCAUUAAAAAGAUUGAUAAUGGAUGAAAAAUCAGUUUCAAGAUAAUGAUAUUAAGAAUCUUUGAAGUUCCAUUUAUAGAUAAGGUGCUUACCAAUCCUUAGCAAGAUUAGAGAUGAAAUUGAUGACGUUACGCUAAACUGAUAGAAAGGCUAGGUUGAUCGAAGAUUGUUUUCAGGUUCGAGAUGGAAAAUAAUAUUUCACAACAAUGGAGAAAAAUAUUCACAAAUGGAAUAAUGGAGAAGAAAACGGGAGAAUUAAAUAGAGAGAAAAUAAAUAAAAUUUGGUUUGGUUUGAAAAAGGAACAAGAAUACAAAUGUAAUUAGGAAAAGAUAAAUACCCAGAUGUUUCAAAAUAUGAGGGAUUAUUUGGGAAGUAACUCUUCUUGUCGAAAUUAAACAGGGGAAAUGAAAUGGGGUGGUGUUUGGCAUGACUUGAACCUUGAAAACAAGGGAUGGAAUAUAAAGGCUUAACCAUUUGGCUGCUGCUCACUCUUGAAAUGUAUUUGCUCCAUUUAAUAUAUAUUCUAGGGGAUUUUCAUUCUACUUUGCUAAAAAAUUAAAACAAAAAAAUUGGAGAGAGGUGGAUUAAACCGAGAAUCUCUAGGGAGUGUACUAAGCUCUUAACCAUUAAGACUAAGAUUCAUUUCUUAGUUAAUUAUUACUUCUAAACCUAUAUAUUUUGGGGUGUUACAAUUCUCCCCUACUUAAAGAAAUUUCAUCCUCGAAAUUUACCUAGUUCAAAUAAAUGAGGAUACAGUUGGCGGAACAUGGACUUUUGGUUCCCAUGUAGUCUCCUCCGGCCUAUGGUUCCAUCACAAUACUUUAAGAAGAGGAAUUUAUUUCCUUUUCAAAACCUUUACGUCUCAAUGAAAAAUUUGAAUUAGUUCUUCCUCAAAGCACAAAUUUGGUCUCAAUUCGAUCUCCUUAAUUGGAAUAAUAUGGGUAGGAUUGGAUCGGUACCGUCUCAACAUAAAGACAUGGAAAACGUCACGGAUUCGAUCCAGUUCAGGUGGUAGUUCUAAUUGAUAAGCAGCUGGGUUGAUUCUCAUAAGGAUUCGGUAGGGUUUUAUGAAUUUUGGACUUAACUUACCCUUUCGAUCGAACAUGAACACCUUUCACCUUAGGGACACUUUCAGGAAGACUUGAUCGCCAACACUGUAUUCAAUGUCCUUCCUCUUUAAGUCAUAUGUAAUUGCGAUGUAUGAGUCUUCAUCCUACGUAGUUCGUGUGCCAUGUGUGGGGUGAAGUCAUAUUCUUUUCGAUUUAGUCCAAUUGUUUUCGAUUCUUUAUUCGUUGUGCGUGUGUCAUGUGUAUCAUAUAAUAUUGUAUUUGAUCGAACAUAUAUUUAUAUUUAUAUUUAUAUUGUACUUGUGAUUGUAUUGUAUUUAAUAAGUUUGUGAAAUUAACAAUUUAAAAAAAUAUAUAUUUACCUAUUUCUAUUAUAAUAAUGUAUUUGAUAGAACAUAUAUUUAUACUUAUAUUUCACUCGCGAUUAUAUUGUAUUUAAUGCAUUUGUCAAAUUAACAAGGGGGCUCCAAUUUUGCCAUUCACUUUUUCGAGAUUUUAACUUUUUUUAAAUAGUUACUAAUGUCUUUUUUUUUGGUUAUAAUACUUAGAACUAUUCAUAAUCUUUGUUCAAUACAUAAGUUGGAGGAUAAUACAUUUCAGCGCACUUGAACACACGUCCUCCUGUAUGGCCUGGAGAUAGGUUGACUUGCCUCAAUAGCUAUCUGCUUGCGCAUGUAUAGCGGUCAGGUUUUCAAAGUUUGGGACUUCUAGACAUGAAAUAUGUUGGGGAGAUUUUACUAUGGGUUGAGAAAAAAUUAUAUUAGGACCAAAACUUCUAACAUUAUAUUAAUAUUACAAUUUUUAACAGUUUUAAUUAAAAAUGUUGAUAUAAACCUUUUCCUUUUGAAGGGCACAACAAGUUGCAUGAGUUUGACCAUAAGCUAUAUAGCUUUCGGUUUGUAUGUAUUCUGAUUUUUGUUUAUCAUUUUGCAUCACAACAGGUCCAUGCCCUGAGGACUGAUGCCGUACUGUACUUUGUACUGAUAGUUUAGCUUGGAGCCACAUAUCGAAAGUCCACUUUCAAUAUGGCAUCACACGGAGAUUUAAUUAUUUUUUUUACAGCAGUUGAUGAAAUCAACCACUUCUUUUAGUCAUUAAAUGCAUAAAUUGAUUAAGAGGUCGGCUUCGAUAUGGAACCUUGUCCAAUCAAACAGGAGUAUCAUAGCCUAUAAAUAGCAUAUUGAGCCGUAUGCUAAUUCACUUCAAAACAAAAAGAUCUUAAAAACAAACAAGACGUCAGCUAAUAUGAAUAUGGGCAAUGCUAAUAGGGAGGAUGCUAUUGAGGCACUCCAAGCACAAGCUCACAUUUGGAGACAUGCUUUCAACUUCGUAAGCUUCAUGUCUCUAAAAUGUGCACUUGAUUUAGGCAUCCUUGAUAUCAUUCAUGAUCAUGGCAGCCAUGACUAUUACCGAGCUGAGCUGCGCUACAGAUGCUCAACCCUACUAAGGCAUGCGACAUUUAUAGGCUCAUGCGCAUUCUAGUUCACUCGGACUUCUUUGCGCGCCAAAAGCUAGACAAUGAUGCUCAAGAAGAAGGAUAUGUUCUUACCAACUCUUCUCGUAUUUUGCUCAAGAAUAAUCCCUUCUGCGUAACGCCUACUUUGAAGGCUACAAUGGAUCCUAUUAUAACAAAGCCUUGGAGUUUUCUAGGGACCUGGUUCCAAAAUGAUUAUCAUACUCCAUUUGCUACUGCAUAUGGGAAGACAUUGUGGGGCUAUUUUACCCAUGACCCUCAGCUAAAAGAUUUGAUAAAUGAUGGCUUAGCUAGUGAUUCUCAAUUGGUUACUAGUGUUCUAGUUGACAAGUGUAAAGGGGCAUUUGAGGGAUUG